Homo sapiens (human) is the source of this 101-nucleotide unclassified non-coding RNA. It matches the Rfam family "Y RNA". Rfam says of the family: Y RNAs are components of the Ro ribonucleoprotein particle (Ro RNP), in association with Ro60 and La proteins. The record is from Ensembl. Lineage: Eukaryota; Metazoa; Chordata; Mammalia; Primates; Hominidae.
AGCUGGUUGAAGUGCAAGGGUGUUUACAACUAAUUUACCACAACCAGUUACAGAUUCUUUGUUCCUUCCCCACUCCCAAUGCUCCACUUGACUAGCAAAAA